Molecule: long non-coding RNA, 216 nt
Filed under: Nicotiana benthamiana
Lineage: Eukaryota; Viridiplantae; Streptophyta; Magnoliopsida; Solanales; Solanaceae
Description: long non-coding RNA (NBEN_LNC022117)
Source: RNAcentral
CUCUAAAAGUAAAGAAAAGAUCCUAGUUAAUUGAAGGGCUCAAAACCUUAAGGUCCAAUUUAAAAGGUGUCUGAACUUAAUCACAUUAAUGGGCAAGGUCCAAGUUUAUUCAAAAUGUUACGCGCACUCAAAUCCAGGCCCAAUCUAAUUUCAGGCCCGACUAGCAUCUUUAGAGUCCAAUACACAAUCAACAAAGUACGUGUAUUCAAUUGAAUU